Molecule: long non-coding RNA, 1009 nt
Organism: Sardina pilchardus (European sardine)
Lineage: Eukaryota; Metazoa; Chordata; Actinopteri; Clupeiformes; Clupeidae
Exons: 6
Source: RefSeq, a predicted model, not a curated record
GCUAUACCAGAGGGUGGAGAACAUGAGCAAACCAGCUGGGGAGGUGGUCGAGAUGUUCCCCUUUCUGAAAGUGUAAAAACUUAUGCAUCAUGAAAUGAGGUUGCGUUUUGGUCAGGACUUGGAGCUAAGCCUUUAACAUGCCCUUAGUGUGAUGACACCCAACAUUAUAAGAGUCGCUCAAAGAGGGAGUCAGAGGGGGCUGCUGUCAAGCCUGCAGGGAACAGAGGAUAACACAGACGAUUUACAAAGAAGUGCUACUUUACUUAUUCAAGGAGACCUCCAAGUUUCUGCACUGCUUAGAUGAGUUGCGCCAUGAAAUGAUGACCCAGCAUGGGGUCGAUGUAAGCAGCAACCUAACAACCGUGUUGGAGGGAGUGGCACACAAGAUCGUCCAAGCCAUGAGGGACAAGAAAAAUCCCAAACCAAUCUCGCCCACCCUACUGGAUGAUUCUGAUGAGGCUGGAAUGAAGAAUGCUGCCCUACUGUUGCUGCCAGACCUGUUCAGGGAGAACAGCAACUUCAUGUUCUGUAUAGAGGAACCAGUCAGCCCUAACCCGACCAUCGUAUUCCACAGGUCUCUGAACGCCCUGAAAGCUGAUUGCAUUAGCAUCCAUCUGGAUGGAGAAACCAUUGUCAAAUCAACAUUGUCCAUAGCGGAAGCAAUAGAGUGUCUGUUCUGUGUAUACUAUCUUUUUAAUAUUUCAUAUCCCACCCCCAUAAUCAACACACUUACUUUCAUUGAAAAAGUCUUGCUAAAAAUGUCCUGCAACAACACAAAGAUUCCCCUCCCUGUCCUGUGUCUUUGUCUUUGGUCUUUGGUGUACUUGGUUGUUUGUCUUCUGUGUGUUUUUUUUUUUGUUUUUUUUUUUUUUAUGAUGAUGACUUUGCUGCCACUCUUGGCCAGGACUCACUGCAACUUAUCUUGCAAAAACACACACACAUAUAGAUAUAGUAGUUUUGGAUGAAUUAAUGUAAAAUACCUUGAAAUAAACAGAAAUUAUCUUUCAAA